Molecule: non-coding RNA, 525 nt
Organism: Callorhinus ursinus (northern fur seal)
Lineage: Eukaryota; Metazoa; Chordata; Mammalia; Carnivora; Otariidae
Source: RefSeq, a predicted model, not a curated record
UCAUUAUGUAACUGGUCUAUGUGCGAUGUUAUAGCUCAUAGAGUGAGCCUUUUAGUUCUUUAUUUUUUCAAAACAAAACAAUAUUGUGGUCUUCAUUAUACCUUUAAAAUAUUAGUACUAUUUUGAUAAUUUUUUCACAGAAUUCUGGAAGAAAUCUGAUUAGAAUAGAAUUUGAGUUUAUAUGAAGAAUUUUCAUUGAGAGAAUGUUAAAUUAGGCCAUCCAUGAACAUGGUAUACCAAUUCCACUUUUCUAUUUAUUUAAAUCUUAUGUCCUAUAAUAUAGACAUUACAUUUUCAUGAUGAACAUUUUUUGUUAAGUUAAAUCAGGUAAACUGCUGUGGCCUGAAAGCUAAAAAUGAAUUUUCACAUCUUAAGGGGUUAUAAAAAAAAACAAAACUGUGUAAGAUUAUGUGACUGAGUAUAUACAUCUGCAACAUCUAAAAUAUUUUAAUAUCUGGUCUUUUACAGAAAAAGUUUGUUGACUCCUGGGUUAUUUCUUAGAUAUUUCAGCGUACUCUGCGCUGA